This 537-nucleotide ribosomal RNA is filed under the name Abalistes stellatus. Its description in RNAcentral is "partial 16S ribosomal RNA". It matches the Rfam family "Bacterial large subunit ribosomal RNA", at positions 1846 to 2577 of the family's 2925-position model. Lineage: Eukaryota; Metazoa; Chordata; Actinopteri; Tetraodontiformes; Balistidae. The record is from RNAcentral.
UAAGAGGUCCCGCCUGCCCUGUGACUGUUAACGUUUAACGGCCGCGGUAUUUUGACCGUGCGAAGGUAGCGCAAUCACUUGUCUCUUAAAUGGGGACCUGUAUGAAUGGCAUAACGAGGGUUUAGCUGUCUCCUUUCCCAAGUUAAUGAAAUUGAUCUUCCCGUGCAGAAGCGGGAAUAAGAACAUAAGACGAGAAGACCCUAUGGAGCUUUAGGCGACAGACAGACUGUACUAAAUAACCCUUAUGAAGGAACAAAGCAUACAAUUAUUAAACCUGUCCUAAUGCCUUUGGUUGGGGCGACCGCGGGGAAACAAAAAACCCCCACGUGGAAUGGGAUAACCUGUCCUCCAAACAAGAGCCCCCGCUCUAAAAAACAGAACAUCUGACCUUUAUGAUCCGGCAAAGCCGAUCAACGAACCGAGUUACCCUAGGGAUAACAGCGCAAUCCCCUUAUAGAGCCCAUAUCGACAAGGGGGUUUACGACCUCGAUGUUGGAUCAGGAUAUCCUAAUGGUGCAGCCGCUAUUAAGGUUCGUU